GAUGAACGCUGGCGGCGUGCCUAAUACAUGCAAGUCGAGCGAACGGACGAGAAGCUUGCUUUUCUGAUGUUAGCGGCGGACGGGUGAGUAACACGUGGAUAACCUACCUAUAAGACUGGGAUAACUUCGGGAAACCGGAGCUAAUACCGGAUAAUAUUUUGAACCGCAUGGUUCAAAAGUGAAAGACGGUCUUGCUGUCACUUAUGGAUGGAUCCGCGCUGCAUUAGCUAGUUGGUAAGGUAACGGCUUACCAAGGCAACGAUGCAUAGCCGACCUGAGAGGGUGAUCGGCCACACUGGAGCUGAGACACGGUCCAGACUCCUAAGGGAGGCAGCAGUAGGGAAUCUUCCGCAAUGGGCGAAAGCCUGACGGAGCAACGCCGCGUGAGUGAUGAAGGUCUUCGGAUCGUAAAACUCUGUUAUUAGGGAAGAACAUAUGUGUAAGUAACUGUGCACAUCUUGACGGUACCUAAUCAGAAAGCCACGGCUAACUACGUG
Molecule: ribosomal RNA, 497 nt
Filed under: uncultured bacterium
Lineage: Bacteria
Description: partial 16S ribosomal RNA
Rfam family: Bacterial small subunit ribosomal RNA
Source: RNAcentral